UUCUCGGUAGUCCAGUGGUUAGGACUCUGAACUUUCACUGCAGGGGGCAUGGGUUUGAUCCCUGAUUGGGGAA
Molecule: transfer RNA, 73 nt
Filed under: Bos taurus (domestic cattle)
Lineage: Eukaryota; Metazoa; Chordata; Mammalia; Artiodactyla; Bovidae
Also listed under: 2 other names
Rfam family: tRNA
About the family: Transfer RNA (tRNA) molecules are approximately 80 nucleotides in length. Their secondary structure includes four short double-helical elements and three loops (D, anti-codon, and T loops).
Source: Rfam by way of RNAcentral